This 497-nucleotide ribosomal RNA is filed under the name uncultured bacterium. RNAcentral's name for it is "partial 16S ribosomal RNA". It matches the Rfam family "Bacterial small subunit ribosomal RNA", at positions 28 to 507 of the family's 1533-position model. The record is from RNAcentral.
GAUGAACGCUGGCGGCGUGCCUAAUACAUGCAAGUCGAGCGAACAGACGAGGAGCUUGCUCCUCUGACGUUAGCGGCGGACGGGUGAGUAACACGUGGAUAACCUACCUAUAAGACUGGGAUAACUUCGGGAAACCGGAGCUAAUACCGGAUAAUAUAUUGAACCGCAUGGUUCAAUAGUGAAAGACGGUUUUGCUGUCACUUAUAGAUGGAUCCGCGCCGCAUUAGCUAGUUGGUAAGGUAACGGCUUACCAAGGCAACGAUGCGUAGCCGACCUGAGAGGGUGACCGGCCACACUGGAACUGAGACACGGUCCAGACUCCUACGGGAGGCAGCAGUAGGGAAUUUUCCCCAAUGGGCGAAAGCCUGACCGAGCAACGCCGCGUGAGUGAAGAAGGUCUUCGGAUUGUAAACCUCUGUUAUUCGGGAAGAAAAAAUGUGUAAGUAACUAUGCACCUCUUGACGGUACCUUAUCAGAAAGCCACGGCUAACUACGUG